Molecule: ribosomal RNA, 646 nt
Filed under: uncultured crenarchaeote
Lineage: Archaea; Thermoproteati; Thermoproteota
Description: bacterial SSU rRNA
Rfam family: Archaeal small subunit ribosomal RNA
Source: RNAcentral
GCCAUCAUUUGUUGUGAGUAAUGGCCCACCUAGACUAUUACAGGUACGGGCUCUGAGAGGAGUAGCCCGGAGAUGGGUAGUGAGACACGGACCCAGGCCCUAUGGGGCGCAGCAGGCGAGAAAACUUUGCAAUGUGCGAAAGCACGACAAGGUUAAUCCGAGUGGUUUCUGCUAAAGGAACCUUUUGUCAGUCCUAGAAACACUGAUGAAUAAGGGGUGGGCAAGUUCUGGUGUCAGCCGCCGCGGUAAAACCAGCACCUCAAGUGGUCAGGAUGAUUAUUGGGCCUAAAGCAUCCGUAGACGGCUCUGUAAGUUUUCGGUUAAAUCUGUACGCUCAACGUACAGGCUGCCGGGAAUACUGCAAAGCUAGGGAGUGGGAGAAGUAGACGGUACUCGGUAGGAAGGGGUAAAAUCCUUUGAUCUAUUGAUGACCACCUGUGGCGAAGGCGGUCUACCAGAACACGUCCGACGGUGAGGGAUGAAAGCUGGGGGAGCAAACCGGAUUAGAUACCCGGGUAGUCCCAGCUGUAAACCAUGCAAACUCAGUGAUGCAUUGGCUUGUGGCCAAUGCAGUGCUGCAGGGAAGCCGUUAAGUUUGCCGCCUGGGAAGUACGUACGCAAGUAUGAAACUCAAAUGAAUUGACGG